AGCUGGCGGCGUGCUAACACAUGCAAGUCGAACGCGAAAGCCGCAAGGGUUAGUAGAGUGGCAAACGGGUGAGUAACACGUGGGUGACCUGCCUUAGAGUGGGGGAUAACGUCCCGAAAGGGACGCUAAUACCCGCAUAACAUCCUGCCUUUGAAGAGGUGGAGAUCAAAGCCGGGACCCGCAAGGGCCUUGCGCUAUGGGAGCGGCCGAUGUCCGAUUAGCUUGUUGGUGAGGUAAAGGCUUACCAAGGCGACGAUCGGUAGCUGGUCUGAGAGGAUGAUCAGCCACACUGGGACUGAGACACGGCCCAGACUCCUACGGGAGGCAGCAGUGGGGAAUUUUGGACAAUGGGGGAAACCCUGAUCCAGCCAUGCCGCGUGAGUGAAGAAGGCCUUCGGGUUGUAAAGCUCUUUUGGCCGGAAAGAAAGGAUUCGGGUGAAUAUCCUGAGUCUCUGACGGUACCGGCAGAAUAAGCACCGGCUAACUACGUGCCAGCAGCCGCGGUAAUACGUAGGGUGCGAGCGUUAAUCGGAAUUCACUGGGCGUAAAGAGUGCGUAGCGGUUCUUUGGUGUCCGCUGUGAAAGCCCCGGGCUUAACCUGGGAAUGGCAGGUGGAAACUAGAGGACUUGAUUCCGGCAAAGGGGGGUGGAAUGCCACGUGUAGCAGUGACAUGCGUAGAGAUGUGGCGGGAAACACCGAUGGCAA
This 706-nucleotide ribosomal RNA is filed under the name uncultured bacterium. RNAcentral's name for it is "bacterial SSU rRNA". It matches the Rfam family "Bacterial small subunit ribosomal RNA", at positions 34 to 718 of the family's 1533-position model. The record is from RNAcentral.